ACUGAAGUACAUCAGACAGGCAGGGGCAUCAAGAUGAAGUCACAGAUCCAGGUCUUCAUAGUCUUGCUGCUCUGUGUAUCUGGUGCUCAUGGAAGCAUUGUGAUGACCCAGUCUCCAGAAUCCCUUCCUGCAUCAGUAGGAGACAGGGUUAUCAUGAGCUGUAAGGCCAGUCAGAGUGUGAGUAAUGAAGUAGCCUGGUACCAACAGAAGCCAGGGCAGUCUCCUAAACCGCUGAUCUACUAUGCAUCCACUCGGUACACUGGAGUCCCUGAUCGCUUCACAGGCAGUGGAUCUGGGACAGAUUUCACUCUCAGCAUCGACAGUGUGCAGGAUGAAGACAUGGCGGAUUAUUUCUGUCAGCAGGAUUACAACUAUCCUCCCACAGUGAUUCUUCCUCCUACAAAAACCUCCUUGAGAGUCUCACAGCUGCCUGUUCCACAUAUAGCUGUAGCUUUACACACUUCACCCUCUGCCUGA
Molecule: non-coding RNA, 477 nt
Organism: Grammomys surdaster
Lineage: Eukaryota; Metazoa; Chordata; Mammalia; Rodentia; Muridae
Source: the annotation of a RefSeq genome assembly